Molecule: ribosomal RNA, 332 nt
Filed under: Tripylidae sp. H03
Lineage: Eukaryota; Metazoa; Nematoda; Enoplea; Triplonchida; Tripylidae
Description: SSU rRNA
Rfam family: Eukaryotic small subunit ribosomal RNA
Source: RNAcentral
GAUUUGUCUGGUUAAUUCCGAUAACGAACGAGACUCUAGCCUAUUAAAUAGUCGGUAAAUCCUUUGUUUACUGUACUUCUUAGAGGGACAGAAGGCGUCUAGCCUUACGAGAUUGAGCAAUAACAGGUCUGUGAUGCCCUUAGAUGUUCGGGGCUGCACGCGCGCUACACUGAAGGAUUCAACGUGAUUUUUCACCUGUUCUGGAAAGAAUGGGUAACCCGUUGAAACUCCUUCGUGAUUGGGAUAGGGGCUUGUAAUUAUUCCCCUUGAACGAGGAAUUCCUAGUAAGUGCGGGUCAUCAUCUCGCGUUGAUUACGUCCCUGCCCUUUGUA